Molecule: transfer RNA, 74 nt
Filed under: Lachnospira eligens
Lineage: Bacteria; Bacillati; Bacillota; Clostridia; Lachnospirales; Lachnospiraceae
Description: [Eubacterium] eligens tRNA-Met
Rfam family: tRNA
About the family: Transfer RNA (tRNA) molecules are approximately 80 nucleotides in length. Their secondary structure includes four short double-helical elements and three loops (D, anti-codon, and T loops).
Source: RNAcentral
GGUUCUCUAGCUCAGUUGGUUAGAGCAUCCGGCUCAUAACCGGACGGUCCUGGGUUCAAAUCCCAGGGGAACCA